Molecule: transfer RNA, 97 nt
Filed under: Dactylosporangium sucinum
Lineage: Bacteria; Bacillati; Actinomycetota; Actinomycetes; Micromonosporales; Micromonosporaceae
Description: tRNA-Ser
Source: RNAcentral
GCCAUCGCGCGGGCGGUGGCCGGGCGCCCGCCGCUGCUGCUGGCCGACGAGCCGACCGGCGCGCUCGACUCGCAGUCCGGCGCCGGGGUGAUGGCGC